GGCGGCGGGCGGCGGGGCGGCGAGGCCAAGCGGCCCGGCCGACAGGGUCGGCUUGCAGGGCAGAGGGCCGCUCGGUCGUCUUCAAAGCCUGGGAACGCCGGGCGCCGUUAUUCGGAAGCCAGCCCGCGCCUCCUGGGGGACGUGCUCUCCCGGUGACCUCUUCCAUCCCGGCCUCCCGCCGAGCUGAAGCCUAGGUGUGUGUUGGCCGAAGAAGCCAUCUCGCAGCGGACAGCCUGCAGGUCAACGGGGUGGCUUAUUGGUCGAGGGGUUGAUGCUGUGGAAGACGGAUGAGAAGGCACUGCUCGAGAAGCGGGGGGAGGACAAGGGGAAGCUCAUGCUCACGGGCCGCUCUGUAACCAAGACAAGCCAGGCAAAGGGAGGGCUGCUUUUGUUCUGCGCCUCCCCAGGAAAGUGGCUUCAGGCACCAACCACAGGCCGGUGAGAGGCCUCCCAGAAGAGCAGUGGUCCCCAGGUUACCUCUCAUCAAGCCUGGGACAUCCCCGCCCCUCUUCUUCAGCUCCCCGUAGCAGCCAUCACAGACCUUGGCCAUCCGGUCCUUGAGGUACUUCAGAGGGUACUUGUUUCUUGAACAGUUCCGGCACACAAUCUGCAAGGCCAGUUGGGGACACAUGCUGGAACGGUUCUCACCCUCUGCAUGUGCAGAAGGCCAGCGUCCUCUCCCCUCUGCUGACCAGCCCCCUGCCACUUCUCCAGGAACUGUUCUGAGUGCAGGACUGUGCCAGGUCCCCCUGCUUUUCCAUCGUAGAGACACAGUUUCUCUGCAAAUGUCUUAUCAGUUUGUCUGAUAAGCCCUUAACCAGGACACAAUACUUUUUCUCCAAAGACAACAGCCACAUGUGCUCUGAUUUUCCUUUGGGAAUGCAUUGGUCUAAUAGAACGGGAUUUGGAGCCCUGGCUCCAGGCUCUCAGUAUAAUGGGCAUCAACAAUUCCUACCUGACAGGGUUAGUGUGAAAACACCCUGACCUGGGUUCCACAGCAACUGCUGGGUGCCCCUGAAUCCCCACCCCACCCCACACGACCCUAUGUCACUCACCCAGACGAGUGUGACUCACCUUGCCACAGGCAUGGCAGUGAUGACGCCUCAGGGUGAGGGAGAAGUCACAGCCACAGUUCAUGCACAUCAUAACAUGUGUGACAGGCACCAGAGUGGGGGGCCUCUCCCCCAGGCUGACCCCCAGCCUCUCUCGUAUCUGGAGCAAUGGAAUGAGGUGAGCAGUGUGGUCAGGAGAUGGCUGGAUGGGUGCCCUCUUUCCAGUACAGGGUGUUUUUGUGUGGGGUGGAUUCUAAUUCUACAACCCCCUCCAUCCCACUGCAUCCUCCAGGAUGCUAACUUUGGGUCAGAAACAGAGCCAACUAGAGGUACUUGGGCUGCACAGUGACUGUGGGGCGUUGGUGGGAAGGGUAGGAGGCGGAACCUGAUGGAAGGAGCGGUGGGUACCCAGGGAAACCUAGGGCUGUGAGGCCAGUGUCAAGUGGCUCUAGGGUCCCCACUCACCUCCACACUGUGGUGAAAGGCCGCCAAAGCUUGGGCCUUGUAAUCCUCAGGGAGGGCCCUGCUCAGACAGCUGUGCCACUCAUCUCGCUCUGCACAGGAGCUGUGGGCAGAAGCUAGUGUGAGCAAGGCAUGCAGGCAUGCAUAGCAGCUUGGCCUCUGUUUCUCAGUGUAGAUCAAGUUCCCCCACCUCUCCCCUGGCUGUGCCUCUUGGUGUCUGACAUCCCAGCAAGCACCAGCCACCUGCCAGACCAGCCUAGGACUGUACCUCAGUAUCUGCCUCUACUAGCAGGGUAGCCAGGGCAAGCUAGCUGUCCUCUGGGCCUGCUUCCUUCCCUAUAACACGGGACUGUCAGUACCAUUCCUCUAACUCCCAACACUGUUAGGUGGAAGAAAUGACAUGUAGGUUUGUUAAUGGUAAAGCACUGUGCAGAAGCAAAGGGCAUUUGGGAGGCACAGAGGUUCCCACACUUAGGAGGGACGAGGGGCAGGGUGCCAAGGGCUGCGUACACAGAGAUGGGAGGAGUAGGAACAGCUGGAAAAGUUCAACAUCCUCGUCUCUCCAUCUUCCUCAUCAUUUUCCUACAUAGUUUCCCAGACAUUCCCUCACCCAACAUGCUGACUUCCAAAUCCCUACUCUGCACCCUGCCCCGCAGGUUUCCGGAGUGGUGAGCACGGUCCUGAGGCAGCGGGGUGAAAAUUCUCCCAGGGCCCACUAGGUGUCGCUCCCACCCUGCAUUAAGUGUGUGGCCUGCCCAGGAAAGCCAGGAUAAGGGACUAGGUUGGCCAGGGAGGCACAGGGGGUGAUGGGUGACCAGAUGCCAUCCCCUAAAGGGAGAUGUAUGGGUGCCCCUGUUCCCUGAAAGCUUCAGCAUGAAGUAUUUGGGCAUGCCGGAAGGUGACUGGCCUGUCAGUGAUAGUGGCUCCUCAAGGCCACUGGCCCAAGGACAGUGCCCCUGCCUAGUAGAGAUGGACAGCCCCAACUGAAGGGCCGAGUAUGGCCACCCACACUGGACAAAUAGAAGCCAUACCCUUCUCCGGCCUCAGACUUCCCUAGAGAUGAGGAGAAAAAACACCAUGGAACCCCACCUAGGCAUCACCUCCUCCAGGAAGCCUGCCCUUCCCCGAUAGGUGGUUGCUCCAUGGAAUUUUCAAGGUUUCUUCUACCCACUGAGGCCAGUAGACAGCAGUGGAUAAGAGCUCUGGGUCACACACUCCUGCAUUUGAGCCCCAGUUCCUCCUCACAUGGUCAUGUGACUUCCCUCUAGGCCUCAACUCCCCAGGCAUGGGGGAGGCCUCAAGCUCCACACCCAAGGGUGGCGAUGGGAUCAAAGGAGCCUGAAACCCAGCAGAUGCCCAAUGCACAUUGCUCUUGUCAUCAACACCAUUAACUAUUACAGCAGUUAUGUUCUAUGCCCUGCCCUUAAUGUGCGCUUCCGCUGAGCACACCAAGGUUUAAAUCCUGUGUCCUCAGCACAGGACCUAGCACCGAGGAGUGGCUAAUACAUGCUUGAAUGAGUAAACGCAACUACAUGAGAGUGUAUCAGCGUGUGCACAUCCUGUGCCACACCUGGAACGACCUCCUCACACCAAUAGUACUGCUGCCACCCCCAGGGUCAUGCACCAGCUGAGGGAGGAGACACCUAUGCCUUGGGGACCCUGUCCCAGCCCCCACAGUGCCCACAGUGGCGCUAGCAGGAACCGUAUCUCCCUGGGGUUUGAGCCCAGAGAGCUAGAGCUGGCCUUGCCCUGAAGCUCUUUUGCUGCCCAGAGUGAGGUGGGAUCCUUGGGUAGCCUGAAGGCCUGGAGAAAACACAGACACUUCUGAUAGAAAGGCCACAACUCCAAACCAGGGAAAGGCAAAUGAUGAAUGCUCACUCAUUAUGUUUUUCUCUUGCUCUCUGGAUAUGAAAGCCUAAAAGCAGACCACUUUAUGAACUAAAGUGCACAGUGGGUUUUUCACUCACCUUAACUUCUUGCAUUGCUGUAAAGACCCAAUGUUUUACAAACAUGAGAUACUGUUAUUGUUGUAUUUAAACGACAGGUUCUAGAACAUAAGCCCCUUGACCCAAAACAAUACCAAAAUAGACAUGACACAUCCAGCUUGUUAUUCCAACCUUUAACACCUAUAAAAUCCUGCCCCUCCACCCCCCAGGCCCUCCUUCCACCCACCUCCCCAUACCUUGCAGACAGAGUCAGGCAGGACUGGGGAGUCUCGAUCUUUAGAGCAUAGGGCACUUUCUCCAUCACAGGGCGACUGACCUGCAAAACCAACAGCAGACUGUCAGGAGGGGCAACCACAGACCCCACUCUUCUCUUGGUCUUGCCACCAUCCUUCUAUGAGCUUGAGUUUCCUCACCUGCAAAGGGUGGUAGACGCUGUGUGCAUGUGUGUGCAUGGAGGGGGGAGUGCUGGUCCCAACUCUGUGGUCUGUGGGCACCUGCCCACCCCAGGGUGGUGGGUAUGUACCCUAAAGAGCAGAAAGCAGGCUCUUUUUUUUUUUUUUUAAAGAUUUACUCAUUUAUUUAUGAUAGACAUAGAGAGAGGAGAGAGAGGCAGAGACACAGGAGGAGGGAGAAGCAGGCUCCAUGUCGGGAGCCCGACGCAGGACUCGAUCCCGGGACUCCAGGAUCGCGCCCUGGGCCAAAGGCAGGCGCCAAACCGCUGAGCCACCCAGGGAUCCCCGGAAAGCAGGCUCUUAAGGACAUAUCUAUACACCAUGUGCAUAGCAGCAUUAUUUAUAAUAGCCAAAAGGUGAAAGUAACUCAACUGUCCAUCCGUGGAUGAAUGGAAAAACAAAAUAUGGUCUAUAUGUACAAUGGAAUAUCAUUAAGCCAUAAACAGGAAGGACAUUCUGACACAGGCUGCAACAUGGACGCACCUUGAGGACAUCCUGCUAGCUGAAAUAGGCCAGUCACAAAAAGACAAACACUGCAUAAUCCUACUUAUAUGAAUUAUCUAGAGCAAAUUCCUGGAGACAAAAAGUAGGAUGGUAGAUGCCAGGGGAUGGGGCUGGAGGAAUGGGAAAUUAGGAAAGAGGUUGGAGUUUUAUCUGGGGAGGAUUUAAAAACUUCUAGAAAUCACUGGUGGUGAUGGUUGCACAACAGGGUAGAUACACAACACUGCUGAACUGUAUGCUUAAAAAUGAUCAAAAUGGUAAAUUGUAUGUUACCUGUAUUUUGCAAUUUAAAAAAACUUUAUGAAACACCCAUUUAUUUCCUCCCUCCAAAUGUUUCCUUAUGCAUCUUCCUCUUUUUAGAAAUGUCCUUCCCUUUCCCCUUCCCCAUCUGUCCAAAUAUUAUUAUCUAGCCUAAGGGAUUCAGCUCCCCUCCUCCGGAAAGUCCUCCUUCCCUCUCCCCUCUACCUGACUACCUAUAGCACAAAGCUGCUAUAACCCACAAUGAAAUACUGUUUCCCUGGAGCUGCCUCUUCCUGCUGAUCUAUGAGCUUCCAGAAGUGGGGAUGCGGUGGUGUCUCCUCCCCUGAGGUCUCCCUCUGCCCAUCCACCCCAGGGUGGCCUAGUACCAGGCAUUUACCUUCAUGCUGGCCACUGACAACGUGUUCUUCAGCCGGUAUUUCCCAUCCUUCUGGGGAUAUGUGUACAGGAGCACAUCGCUCAUCUGGGGAGAAGGAAACCCCAUCAGAUGUUUCUUGGCCGCAGAAGGCUGUGUGGGGUAUUUGUCUUGGAGGAUCACUGAAUUCUGGAUAGCAGAGGCAUCUUGCCUUUUUCCUCACAGGAAAGCAAAACCACUCUGAGCGAACAUGUGAGCCCCCUCCCUGAAAUCCCACUCCUAGGUCUAUAGUUAAAAGGAAUAAAUGCAGAUGUCCACAAAAAGCCAAGUACAGGAAUGUUCAUGCAGGCUUUAUUCAUAACAGCCAAUAGUGGAAACAACCCAAAUGUUACACAACAGGUCAAUGCGUAAAUGAACCAUGGUACAUCCAUACUGUGGAGUACUACAUAGCAACCAAAAGGAACUGAUGGAACACACACAGCAUGGGUGAAUCUCAAAAACAUGCUAAGUGAAAGAAGUCAGACACAGAGGAGUACACACUGCUUCAUAGCAUUUAUAUGAAGUUCCAAAACAGGUAAAACUAACCUGUAGUGAUGGAAAUUAGGCCAAUGGUCGCUUAGGCAGAGGAUGGGGGAAGUGAGUGCUAAGGGGCACAGGGGACCUUUCAGGGGUGGGGGAUGGCUAGAAAUAUUCUAUACCUUGACCGAAGUGGUGGUUACACAAUGAUAUAUAUUAGUCAAUGCGUAGACAUGUAUACUUAAAUUGAUGCAUUUUACUCUACAAAUGGAGCUGCCAUAAAGUAUAGUUAAGGAAGGGUGAUGGGGAGGGACAUAGCUCCUUAAGGAUAGGGAGCUGCUGAGUCCUGAUCACUGGUGUACCUCCAGUGACCACAGUAGGUAAUAAUAUUUGUUAAAUGAGCAACUGAAGCUCCUUGCCCCUAUCUAGGGCAGACCAGAAGAACCAUAGUGAAAGGCACCUCACUUCCAUGGGGGGAGUGUUUCUGUUUGGCUAAAAGGGUUACAGUUUGGAAAAAGGAUAUCAAUCCUCACCCUGCUCUGUAGCAUCUAUGCGACUGUGGAUAAGCUGCCUGACCCCCCCUCCCUGAGCUUCAGCUUCCUCCCAGCAGAGCAGGAGGAAGCUGCCCCUACCUCAUCAUGGAUGCUGAGAAAGAACUGACCCCAGUGAGCCCACCAUGUGUGGGAGCCAGUAUAAAGUAGGGGCGUUGUGAGGACUGAACAGGACGAGGCAUCUAAGGAGCCGAAACAGAGAAAGAACUCAGGAUUAGCACUUCCUCUCCCCACAGGGAGUCUGCUGUGGGAACAGAAUCCUGCCACUAGCUCUUAGGAUCCCAACAUCGCAGCCACAGUAGCGCAGGACACUUGGCCUGGACACAGAGUUGCUGCAUGAGCAAACCUUUCCUCUCUCUGGACCUCACUGUCUCUAAGCAGAGUUGGGGUAAACCAGGGGCCAGCAAACGUUUCAAUAAAGGCCUAGAGAGUAUUUAAGUCUUUGCAGGUCACAGAGUCUCUGUCACAACUAUUCAACUCAGCCACUGUAAUCCAAAAGCAUUCACAGACCAUCCAUGAAUGAAUGCAUGAGACUGUGUUUCAAUAGACCUCUAGGACCCCCAGGUCAGAGGAGACUUCAAAGCCUCCUCCAGCUCUUCCCUUCUAAUAAUGACAAAGAGCUACUGUCCACUGAACAUUCACUCUGUACUAGGUGCUGAGGUAAGUACCCUGAUCUCAAUUCAUGCCCCCAAUAAUCCCAUCAGGCAGGCACUAUCAUUAUCAUCCUCAUUUCACAGAGGGAGAAAUUGAGGCACAGAGAGCCUUGACAACCUGCCCAAGGUUACAAAACUUGUAAGUGGCAGAGGCAGGGUCAUAUGUAAAUGAAUGCACUUCCAGUAUGUUCAGGUGUGGUAUGUUGGGGGGUGGCCACAUGGUUAAGUCCUGGCCCCAUCUGGGGACAGUGACCAAACCUGGGCACAGAGCCUUGCUCAUAAGCCUGCCCACCCUGGGGAAUUGGCUUAUGUCACUGAUCAGAGCAGUCCCAGACCUUGUAUGGCUGCCCCUCAAGCACCUGCUGCCAUGGCAACUACCAUUAGCACCCUGGGGUUUUAUGAGUGGUCAGGACCAGGCUGCCUUCCAAUUGCCCAUAGUUUUCCUUUCCUCUUCAAAGCGGGCAGGAGUUUUCAGACUGAUCUGGAGGAAGAUAGAGGAAUUCUUCAUUGAAGAGUGAAGGGGAAUCUCUCACAAUAAUAAGCCACCAGUGGGAGCCCCACCUACCACCUGGGGCCAUGGUGGGAACCUCUCUGUAGCAUUACCAAAACCCCCGUGCAGUGGUGGGCAGAUAUCCUGACUUUGUUCUAAAAUUAACAAUUAUUUUAUGAAAAUGGCACCUUAGGAGGAAGAAAAAUUCUUAAGUGUAUUCAUCAUGGCUCUUCCUGGCUCAGGAACCUGUCUGUCUCUCCUGGAGGUAUUUAUGAAGAUCCUAUGCUAAUUCAGAGAAAGAAUGGGACCCUGGUUCAGCCUGCAGGGAGGUAUGGCCUAACAAAAACAAGAGACUAAAAGAGACCCAGGCCUAGCAUGGAGAUGAGUGAGUGAGAGGCUAUGAUGAAGGGCCAAUUAGAUGCUGGAGAGCACAUGAGGGAGGGAAAGAGAGAAAGGAGAGGGCAAAGGGGAGGAGUAGAGGGAGGGGGAAGACACUCAGGAAGAUCAGGACACUGUGUCUUCCCUGGCACUCAAGGUCCCUGUGAGAGGCAGAGGCACAAGCAGAGCCUGGCCAGAGGAGGUGGCCAGAUGGGGAAUGGCUAGGGGUUCAAAAGGGAGCUCCCUCUAUUCCAGCUGCUGCUUCACUCCCUUCCUUCAUAGGCAGGAAGGACAAUUAUCCGACUCUAAAGACAAGGGCACUGAGACUCAGAGAAGUGAUGGAUGUGCCAUGGGCCUCAUAGCCAGUAAGUGUCAGAACUCGGAUGUGAUCCAGUCUGACUCCAAAGCUCAUGCUCCUUUAUCACCAUCCUGGACCUUAUUUUUUCAUCCUGAGAAGACAUGGUUGUGGGCUCCAACUCUCCCCAGGGCUGUGCUGGCACAGAGGGAGAACCUGUGUCCCAUGGGGCCAUUGUGAGAGGGAAGGGAAGACACUGUUUCCAGAUAAGCUGCUUCUAUGUACCUCAUUUAAUUCCCUAAACCGCCUAGUAUUUCCACUUUCCUCUUGGAAAAGCUGAGGCUCAGACAUGUCUGUGACUUGUCUAAGGGUUUCAGAGGGGCUAAGCGUUGGGUUAGGAUCUAACCUGCUCACUCUGGCUCAUGACCACAUAUAUCCUAAAUUCAAGGCUAUCAUUUCUUCUCAUAGAAGGAGUUUUCAAAUAUUUAGACUAACACGGAACAAAAGAUGGCUUCCUCCUAUCUCUCUUUGCUCUUCCUCUUUGUUCCUGUGGCCCUGAGAUUCCGUCCAUGCCAUUCUCAUAAUUCCAUCUUUAUGUCAGACUUUGAAGGUUCAGGGGGCAGCAUGAGACUUUUCUCUUUGUUUCCAGUGCCCAGCACACCAGAGGUGCUCACUUAAUAUCUGAAACACAGUUCUUAAGACACUUGGAGCCUGUUCACUGUUACUCUGCACACAAUUCUAACAAAGUGUAAGGAGGCUGUUGGGCAGCCACAACUGACAGUAAAAAAAAAAAAAAAAAAAAAAAAAAAAAAGCCAAUAGUGAAUAACAGAGAGAAAAUUAUACCCAGCAGGUGGGAGAACUUAAAAGGCAAAACAACUUGGGAGUUGUAGGGUUGGGGCAAAUUGCUGCUUGUAGCUCAACAGCCACAGAGGUUGAUAUUACCAUGUAACAGGCCUAGGCAUUCCCUGGUACUCCAGACUGUGGCUGUAAAUCAUUAGAACUAUUACAUUGUACUCUGUCUUGUGCACAGUGGAGAAAGUGCUAGACUGAGGUCACAACCCUGGUUCCCUUCUGGGCCUCUGCCACCAAUCUGCUGGGAGAUGCAGCCAAGGAAACUCCCCUUCUGGAUCUCAGUUUUCUCAUGCUUAGAUAAGGCAGUCGAAUAGUUAUAUCCAGGGUAAGAACUUCCCAGUGUUAGGAUGUUUCAGAUGGGGAUAGAGGUAAUUCAAUUUCGGCAAAAUUCCAUUCAAAAUCACUCAAAUAAUAAAUGCAGGAAGGGUUGUGGUUGGCAAGGGUUAAGCUCUCAGCUCUCUGGAAAGCUCAGUUCUGCAGAAUGAUCCUCAUCCUAAAUAUUUGUCUCUGUUCUAGCAGCCACCCUCUUCCAGCUGUCUUUGAAUAAUGAGCUAGAAAAACAUCACAGAAUUGGACAGUCCUGGGGCUUGGCUGGGGGCCAGGUACUUACCAGGAACAGGUGUCGGGGGCGUCUGCUUUUCCCUGUUACUUUCAUCAGUGUCCCCUCCUUCAGAAACUCCUGUGGGAAGAGAAGGAGACCUGGAGAGUCAGACUGAUGCCUACUGCCAUCCUAAAGAAGGAUGGGGGAAAGGCCCUGAGAAGGAACCAUUAGUUACGAUGCCUCCCAAAGCACCACAGAAUAGCUCAUGGGUGAAUUCCCAGCUUUAGAGUGAUGCCCGUGUUUGCCAGCACAGCUCUGGAGACAGACAACUCUGCUUUUUAGGAACACUCCACUCUGAAUUAUAUACCAAGUCCCAGACACUGUUCUGGCCUCCAAGUGAUCCAGACAGUGACUCCUUCCCUGGUUUGCUGUCUUGAGGAGACCUUCAGACUGGACACUCUGAAGGUUUGCUAAAACAGUGGAAGACCUGUGAAUAGCUGCUACAGGCUCCUUAAUUCUGGAGGAUAUUUAAAACAGAUGUUUAUUCUUUUUAAAAGAUUUUAUUUAUUUAUUCAUGAGAGACACACACAGAGAGAGGCAGAGACACAGGCAGAGGGGAAACAUGCUCCAUGCAGGGAGCCCGAUGCGGGACUUGAUCUCAGGA
Molecule: long non-coding RNA, 9967 nt
Organism: Canis lupus familiaris (dog)
Lineage: Eukaryota; Metazoa; Chordata; Mammalia; Carnivora; Canidae
Exons: 3
Source: RefSeq, a predicted model, not a curated record